ACCUAGCCCCGAUUGAAAUGGAAAUCCUUUUAUGUUUUUUCUUUAAAAACAUAAAAGAUUGCAAUGGAAAGCGGGAAAUAGC
Molecule: small RNA, 82 nt
Filed under: Flavobacterium xinjiangense
Lineage: Bacteria; Pseudomonadati; Bacteroidota; Flavobacteriia; Flavobacteriales; Flavobacteriaceae
Description: Flavo-1 RNA
Rfam family: Flavo-1 RNA
Source: RNAcentral